RNAcentral lists this ribosomal RNA (253 nucleotides) under uncultured bacterium. Its description in RNAcentral is "partial 16S ribosomal RNA". It matches the Rfam family "Bacterial small subunit ribosomal RNA", at positions 524 to 776 of the family's 1533-position model. The record is from RNAcentral.
UACGUAGGGGGCAAGCGUUGUCCGGAAUUAUUGGGCGUAAAGAGCGUGUAGGCGGCCAGGUAGGUCUGCUGUGAAAACUCGAGGCUUAACCUCGAGAUGUCGGCGGAAACCAUCUGGCUAGAGUCCGGAAGAGGAGAAUGGAAUUCCCGGUGUAGCGGUGAAAUGCGCAGAUAUCGGGAAGAACACCCGUGGCGAAGGCGGUUCUCUGGGACGGUACUGACGCUGAUACGCGAAAGCGUGGGGAGCGAACAGG